Molecule: unclassified non-coding RNA, 230 nt
Filed under: Hevea brasiliensis (rubber tree)
Lineage: Eukaryota; Viridiplantae; Streptophyta; Magnoliopsida; Malpighiales; Euphorbiaceae
Source: RNAcentral
UCCCAGCCUCUCUUUUGGAUAAAUUCUCUUGUUAAUUGUGUGAGUUGUCUGAUAUUUGAACAUUGUUUCAAGUGUUUAUUUUGUGAAAAACGUGUGGUAUGAUGGAUUCCUUGAGCAAAUAAAAUGACCUAAUCUAAAAUUUUAAAAUAAAGAUUAGGGAUGGAUUGAAAGACAAUCACGCGAACUAAAUCCUCCUGUCUCAAGUUUACUUCAAAUAUAGGGCAAAAUUG